GGCCCAAUGGUCUAGUAGUAUGAUUCCUGCUUCGGGUGCAGGAGGUCCCGGGUUCAACUCCCGGUUGGGCCC
RNAcentral lists this transfer RNA (72 nucleotides) under Chytriomyces sp. MP71. RNAcentral's name for it is "tRNA-Pro". It matches the Rfam family "tRNA". Rfam says of the family: Transfer RNA (tRNA) molecules are approximately 80 nucleotides in length. Their secondary structure includes four short double-helical elements and three loops (D, anti-codon, and T loops). The record is from RNAcentral. Lineage: Eukaryota; Fungi; Chytridiomycota; Chytridiomycetes; Chytridiales; Chytriomycetaceae.